Myotis lucifugus (little brown bat) is the source of this 76-nucleotide non-coding RNA. Lineage: Eukaryota; Metazoa; Chordata; Mammalia; Chiroptera; Vespertilionidae. The record is from Rfam.
GGCAGUUUUUGGAUGAUGCACUCCGGAAUCGGGCUCCCUCCUCUCUGGUUCCAGGGUGCAUCACCUGAGAACCACU